AUGAGGGAAUUCAUGGAGGUGCAGGCCCACGGCAACACAAAGUUGCACGUGAUCCACACCAACGACUUGCACAAGGCGGCGACCACUAUUGAGCAGUUCGAGCGAUACCUCCAGUUCGAGCGCCACAAGAUCGUCGGAGUUGAUGUGAAGUACACCAACGACCAUGGCGAAGAUCAAAAACCCGCCCUAGCCCAGCUCUCCAUCGGCAAGGAUCAUCCGGUGCUACUCUCCCAACUAAGCGCGGCCGACAAGAACUGCACCAUGUUCGACAACUUCCUCGCGGACCCCAGGUACAUGUUUGUUGGCUUCUCCAUCGACGGCGACAUAGAGAUGCUCGGCCGCAUCGGACUGGAGAUCGCCCACUACGUCGACAUCCAGAAGGAAUGUAAGGUGCCUACAGCUACCAAGCCUCUGGACUCCCUUGGGGACGUCUCAGGCAUCCUUGUCCACGACGUAGAGCUCACUAACACAGAGCACCAGCGCUGGGCGUGCAUGCACCUGUCCAUGAGGCACAAUGAGUACGCGGCAAAGGACGCUUACGCUGCGUACGAGAUAUGGAGCUGCCUCAGCAUCAUCCAGGAAGGGCUUCGCCGGGAAAAACUCGACAAGGAGCAGACCAGAAAGCGCACUAGGUCCUGUGGCGACUAUGACUACUGA
This 657-nucleotide ribosomal RNA is filed under the name Triticum aestivum (bread wheat). RNAcentral's name for it is "partial small subunit ribosomal RNA". Lineage: Eukaryota; Viridiplantae; Streptophyta; Magnoliopsida; Poales; Poaceae. The record is from RNAcentral.